RNAcentral lists this long non-coding RNA (1609 nucleotides) under Pan troglodytes (chimpanzee). RNAcentral's name for it is "long non-coding RNA NONPTRT005199". The record is from RNAcentral. Lineage: Eukaryota; Metazoa; Chordata; Mammalia; Primates; Hominidae.
GGGGGACCCGGUGUGCGCGCAGGAAUCGGGAAUUUUCCAUGAUUGGGGUGGAUGGAAAAGCAGCCAACUGCUACAUGCUGCCUGAUGGCUCCAGGGUUGGCCCACCAUCACUUCUGCCACCAUUGUUGCCACACACACUGCCCAGGAGCCCACCUGCCCUGCCUACUGGUGGCACCCGAGCAAGCCGGAGGCCCAAGGACUGGCCUAUCUGGACUCACCACCAUUAGCACCUGCAUAUGCCACCCAGGGGCCUGCAAAUCAGCACACCUGGCUCCCCAUUGCCACCACAGCUGUGGGGGCUGCAUCCUGCAGAGCCACAGGGCAGAGCCCCGCCUUGAGCCAAUGUGGCCUGGAUACGAGACACAGGGUUGAAGGAGAUUAUUUUGGAGCUUUAAGAUUUAAUGACUGCCCUGCUGGGUUUCAAACUUGCAUGGGGCCUGUAGCCCCUUUGGUUUGGCCAGUUUGCCCUUUUGGAUUGGUAGUAUUUAGUCAAUGUUUGUACCCCCACUGUAUCUUGGAAGUAACUAAUUUGUUUUUGAUUUUACAGGCUCAUAGGCAGAAGGGACUGGCCUUGUCUCAGAUGAGACUUUGGACUGUGGACUUUUGAGUUAAUGCCAAAAUGAGUUAAGACGUGAGGGACUGUUGAGAAGGGAUGAUUGUAUUUUGCAAUGUGAGAAGGAUAUGAGAUUUGGGAGAGGCUGGGGCAGAAUGGAAUGGUUUGGAUUUGUGUCCCCAGCCACAUCUCAUGUUAAGUUGUAAUUGCCAGUGUUGGAGGAGGGGUCCGGACAGAGGUGACUGGAUCAAGGGGGCGGAUUUCCCCCUUGCUGUUCUCAUGAUAGUGACUGAGUUCUCACAAGAUCUGGUUGUUUAAAAGUGUGUGGCACCUCCCACUUCACCCUCUUCCUCCGGCUCCAGCCGCAAAGGAUGUGCCGGCUUCCCCUUCACCUUCCACCGUGAUGGAAGGUCUCCCGAGGCCUAGCCAGCCGUGCUUCCUGGACAGCCUGUGGGAACGUGAGCCGAUUAAGCUUCUUUAUAAAUUACCCAGUCUCAGGCAGUUCUUUAUGGCAAUGUGAGAACAGACUAAAACACAAACCAACAUUAUCGGUGUAUCUACAGGAAAAUGUCUUUCCCUACAAAAGCCAAUCCAUAAAAUUAGAAGAAAUGACUGUUACACCAGAUGCGCAGAUAUCAACACAAGGACACAAGAAACACAAACACACAAAGGAAACGUGACGCCUCCAAAGGAACACAAUAUUUCUCCAGGAACAGAUCUUAAAAGAAAUGAUGAAAUGCUCAAAAAAAUUCAAAAUAAGUUUAAAAACUCAGUGAGAUACAAGACAGCAAAGAUAAACAAUACAGAGAAAUCAGGGGCCGGGGGAGUGGCUCAAGCCUGUAAUCCCAGUACUUUGGGAGGCCGAGGCGGGUGGAUCACUGGAGGUCAGGAGUUCGAGACCAGCCUGGCGAACGUGGCGAAACCUCAUCUCUACUAAAAACACAAAAAUUAGCUGGGUGUGGUGGCGCAUGCCUGUGAUCCCAGCUACUAGGGAGGCUGAGGCAGGAGAAUCACUUGAACCGGGGAGGCAGAGGUUGCAGUGAACCAAGAUCAUGC